CAAACUGGUGAAAAGCUGUGUUGUUCUGCCCCCUACCGGUAGAAACGGAACACAGCCCAUUACCUGAACACACUUGUCUCUGCUGCUGAGAGUCAGAAGCGUUGAUCUGACCACGGGCUGUGAUCUCAGUGACCUUUCCAGGGGUCAGCUGGCGGCUAUGGUGACAGAGGGGUCAGUCUGCGGCCUCGGUUCAUCUCUCGGUCAACAUCAGAUAACAAGUUGAUCCAGCAUUCUUUUGACUGACGUGAUGCAGAGACAGAGCUUGGCUCGAUCAGGACGUCGUCUCGGCCAGACCCCCGCCGUGCCACCCCAGCCCGCCCACAGCCGAUCAAUAUGACUGGAGUUGGAGAAACAGGCCGACCGUCCACUAGGGGCAGAAGACGCUGCCAAACUAGUGAAGUGUGCUGCUGGAUAUAAGCCUCAUGCCUGUGUAAUACUGCUAACCUGAAGUGAUCAUGCUGAUCAUCGUGAUGUUUAUGCUCAAGCUCCCUGCGUUACCGCCGCUCUGCAUGUUGGCCGGUUGCGGAGGCUCUGUGGUUUGGUGCAACUCUGUCAGCGGGGUCAACAGGCACUUGUACCCUGUCAUUAUUCGGUGACUGAAAGACAUACAGUGAAAGAAAAGACUGAUUGAAUGAAAAAAACAAAAAAACACUGAGGAAUGAAACGCCCUGGAUAAAUAAAAGGAUCGAGUUUGGAGGAGAGUCAACAUCAACCUGUAGGUGUGAGAGGGGGAGAACAAAGCUUGCCAAAGACCUGUUUGCAUGGAGACUCG
Molecule: long non-coding RNA, 772 nt
Organism: Cyprinus carpio carpio
Lineage: Eukaryota; Metazoa; Chordata; Actinopteri; Cypriniformes; Cyprinidae
Source: Ensembl